AUGGUAUGCUGUGCUGGUAAGUUUUUAUGUAAUUCUGUCAUUUUCUUUCUUGUGUGCCUGAUAAAUUUACUGUAUGUCAGUGUGGUAACUUUCAUAGUUUUUCGUGGUCCAUUCGGUGAACUUCAAUUUCUUUUUGUUUUCAACUUGCAUCCUGACAUCGAUGGUAUUAAAAAUCUCAAUUGGUCCAAAUUCAUUGCUGAUGAACUACACAAGGCGGUGUUGAAACGCAAGCCUACCAGGGGUUGCCUUCUCUUCUACAAUGUAAGUGAUGAUGCUUUCCUCUUACCUUCUCUUUUGUCAUUUGUCAUUUUUUGUCAUUUUGUGUCUUAUUUUUGUUAA
This 339-nucleotide ribosomal RNA is filed under the name Triticum aestivum (bread wheat). Its description in RNAcentral is "partial small subunit ribosomal RNA". The record is from RNAcentral. Lineage: Eukaryota; Viridiplantae; Streptophyta; Magnoliopsida; Poales; Poaceae.